RNAcentral lists this transfer RNA (77 nucleotides) under Vicinamibacterales bacterium. Its description in RNAcentral is "tRNA-Arg". It matches the Rfam family "tRNA". From Rfam's summary of the family: Transfer RNA (tRNA) molecules are approximately 80 nucleotides in length. Their secondary structure includes four short double-helical elements and three loops (D, anti-codon, and T loops). The record is from RNAcentral. Lineage: Bacteria; Pseudomonadati; Acidobacteriota; Vicinamibacteria; Vicinamibacterales.
GCGCCCUUAGCUCAGUUGGAUAGAGCGUCUGGCUACGAACCAGGAGGCCGCAGUUUCGAGUCCUGCUGGGCGCGCCA